GAACGCUCGGAGCAAUCCGGGAGUGGCAGACGGGUGAGUAACACGUGGGAACGUACCCUUUUGUUCGGAAUAACCCCAGGGAAACUUGGGCUAAUACCGGAUACGGCCGAGAGGCGAAAGGUUUACCGCAGAAGGAUCGGCCCGCGUCCGAUUAGCUUGUUGGUGAGGUAAUGGCUCACCAAGGCAUCGAUCGGUAGCUGGUCUGAGAGGAUGGCCAGCCACAUUGGGACUGAGACACGGCCCAAACUCCUACGGGAGGCAGCAGUGGGGAAUAUUGGACAAUGGGCGCAAGCCUGAUCCAGCCAUGCCGCGUGAGUGAUGAAGGCCUUAGGGUUGUAAAGCUCUUUUACCUGGGAAGAUCAUGACGGUACCAGGAGAAUAAGCCCCGGCUAACUUCGUG
This 400-nucleotide ribosomal RNA is filed under the name uncultured bacterium. RNAcentral's name for it is "bacterial SSU rRNA". It matches the Rfam family "Bacterial small subunit ribosomal RNA", at positions 64 to 507 of the family's 1533-position model. The record is from RNAcentral.